This 253-nucleotide ribosomal RNA is filed under the name uncultured bacterium. Its description in RNAcentral is "partial 16S ribosomal RNA". It matches the Rfam family "Bacterial small subunit ribosomal RNA", at positions 524 to 776 of the family's 1533-position model. The record is from RNAcentral.
UACGUAGGGUGCGAGCGUUAAUCGGAAUUACUGGGCGUAAAGGGCUCGUAGGCGGCCAACUAAGUCAGACGUGAAAUCCCUCGGCUUAACCGGGGAACGGCCUCUGAUACUGGAUGGCUUGAGUUCGGGAGAGGGAUGCGGAAUUCCAGGUGUAGCGGUGAAAUGCGUAGAUAUCUGGAGGAACACCGGUGGCGAAGGCGGCAUCCUGGACCGACACUGACGCUGAGGAGCGAAAGCCAGGGGAGCAAACGGG